This 86-nucleotide transfer RNA is filed under the name Minisyncoccota bacterium. Its description in RNAcentral is "tRNA-Leu". It matches the Rfam family "tRNA". Rfam says of the family: Transfer RNA (tRNA) molecules are approximately 80 nucleotides in length. Their secondary structure includes four short double-helical elements and three loops (D, anti-codon, and T loops). The record is from RNAcentral. Lineage: Bacteria; Bacillati; Minisyncoccota.
GCCGCGGUGGCGGAAUCGGUAGACGCGUAGGUCUCAAAAACCUAUGAGACUCAAAUCUCGUGUGGGUUCGAUUCCCACCCGCGGCA